RNAcentral lists this non-coding RNA (29 nucleotides) under Cricetulus griseus (Chinese hamster). The record is from RNAcentral. Lineage: Eukaryota; Metazoa; Chordata; Mammalia; Rodentia; Cricetidae.
AUUAAGUUUGUGGACUUUUGUGGGAAGUA